UAUAAGUAUAUAAAGAAACUAUUAUGGAAUUUAAGCUAUGUAUUAAAGAGAAUUAUUUAUAUAUAUAGGACAUUUAUCCUAUAAUUAUAUGAACUCUAAGAGAAAUUUUAUAAUAAACGAAGUGAAUUGAAAUAUCUUAGUAACUUUAGGAAAAUAAAUCAAAAGAGAUUCUAUGAAUAGCGUGAGCGAAAGUAGAGAAGCCUAAUAAGUAAAACGGUUUAAAACUGUUUAAACAUUUGGGGAACCUUCCUCAAAGGCUAAAUAUAAUACAUAAGCGAUAGUGAAAAGUACCAUGAGGGAAAUAAAAUAAAAAUAGUAGUUUUAUAAGCAGUUCGAAAUAAAGAACGUACCUUUUGCAUAAUGGGUCACCAAGUUAACGUUAGAUGCGAGAUAACACGUAGUUAAACCGAACGUUAAAAUAACGAUAUAGUGUCUAAAGUUAGACCCGAAGCCUGGUGAUUUUACCAUAGUCAGGAUUAUAAAAGUCCGAACCGGUGAUUGUAGCAAAAAUCUCGGAAGAACUGUGGUAGGUGUAGUGAAAGACAACACUGACUAGGAUAGCUGGUUUUCUGCGAAACCUAUAAUAGUAGGCAGUUUAAGUAAAUAUCUUAGCAGGUACAGAAUUUAAUCUCAGACAAGACAUUUCAAAUGUUUUAUUUUGUACAAAUUGGGGAUCAUGAAGAUUUUAUCAGUGAGUAUGUAGACUCGGAAUGGCAAAGAUAUAUCUUAAACUAUCAGACAUAGAAUGAUAAGGUUGUAUGUCGAAAGGGAAACAGCCCAGAACAAGAGUUAAGGUUCCUAAAUUAUUUGUUAAGUGAAAAUAAGAAAGUUUUUAUUUAAGUCGACAAGGAGAUAGGCUUAGAAGCAGCCAUAAUUUUAUGACCUCGUAACAGAGCGCUUGUUAAAUUAUAAAAGCGUCGAAAAUAUAACGGAUCUAAACAAUAUACCGAAACUUGUCCAUAAUAUAUUAUAAUAAAUAUGUUUAUUGUAAUUUAAUGGGGUAGCAGAACGUUGAGCUAAAGUAUGAGUUUUAUUUUUUAAAUAGAAUUAUAGUAUUUAACUCAAGUGAGAAUGGUGACAUGAGUAACUAAAAGAAAAUUUUCCGCCUUAAGCUUAUGGAUGUAAUUAAGUAACGGCCUCUAAGUUUAUAUAAUCUAAAGAUUUAAACGAUGAGAAAAUCUUUAUUACUAAAAACAACAUUUUGGUGCAAAAUGUGCUGGAAAAAUAGUAAUAUGUUUGUUAUUUAAUAACAAAUAAAAUAACCGUACCUAGAAUCUGAAACAAGUAAGCUAGUAGAGAAUACGAAGGCGUAAAUGAGCUAACAAUCAUAAAGGAACUCGGCAAAUUGACUACCGUAACUUCGGAAUAAGGAGGGCUCAUUAUUCUUGAUGAAUAUCAAGUAAAGAGGAAGAAGCAUGAAAUAAUGUUGUACGACUGUUUAAUUAAAACACAGCACUUUGCUGAAAGAUUAAAAAUCUAAGUAUAAAGUGUGAUAUCUGCCCGGUGCCGGCUGGUUAACAGAUAUAAUUGAAUAUACUAAUAUUUGAUGUAGACGGAAACCCCGGUUAAAGGCGGCCUUAACGUGAGGGUCCUAAGGUAGCGAAAUGCCUUGGCCGUUAAAUGCGGUCUUGCAUGAAUGGUGUAACGAUACAACAGCUGUCUCUAUGAUUGACUCAGUGAAAUUGGAAUAGCUGUGCAGAUACAGCUUACCUCUAGUUAGACGAGAAGACCCUAUGCAGCUUUACUGUCACUAAUUAUAGAGUAUGAUAAACGAUUUUCAGAAUAUAAGGUAAUUGACAAACAUGACAAUGAGAAACCUUUAUUCUUUUUUCAUAUGAAUGAAUUGGUUUAGGAUUAUGAGUAAUUUAUAGUUAUUUUAUGGGCUUGGCUUAUGCUAGGUCACAUAUUAUAAUUUAUAGCUCAUUUUAGUAAAUCAACCUAAUUCAACUUAUUUAUUUUUAAAAUUAGUAAGUACCCUUUGGUAAGGAACUAUCGCUAGGGGACAGUUUAUGUGGGGCACAGACCCUGUAAAGAGUAAACAGGAGUGUCUAAAAAUUUAUAAUUAUUUUGUUUGCUAUUUUGAGUAGUUUAACUAUUUUUAAUCGUAUAAAAAUUAAAUAUAUUUGCAUUUUAUGUAUAUAUAUUUAAGAUUAGGUAAGAUUUUCACUAUAUAGAAAUUAGAGAUAAUUGAGAAUAUUAUGAAGUUUUCUAAUAUUUUCUAGCUAUUAUUUAUAAUAGUUAUGUGUUUAAUAUCUAAAAAGCUCAACGGCUUAAUCUUGCCUUACUGUUUGAUUAUCGACAAAUCUUACAGUUGCGUAAGCAGGGCAUAGGAUCACAAGAUGCCACAAGGAAAGAUCUUGGAUUAUUGGAAAAAGCUACGCUAGGGAUGUUUGUCCUUUAAUAUUUUAUUUAUAAA
RNAcentral lists this ribosomal RNA (2416 nucleotides) under Trichoderma gamsii. Its description in RNAcentral is "LSU rRNA". It matches the Rfam family "Bacterial large subunit ribosomal RNA", at positions 1 to 2510 of the family's 2925-position model. The record is from RNAcentral. Lineage: Eukaryota; Fungi; Ascomycota; Sordariomycetes; Hypocreales; Hypocreaceae.